This 125-nucleotide small RNA is filed under the name Marmota monax (woodchuck). The record is from RNAcentral. Lineage: Eukaryota; Metazoa; Chordata; Mammalia; Rodentia; Sciuridae.
GCUGGGUGCAGUGGCACACACCUGUAAUCCCAGCGGCUCGGGAGGCUGAGACAGGAGGAUCGCAAAUUCAAAGCCAGCCUCAGCAAAAGCGAGGCGCUAAGCAACUCUGUGAGACUCUGUCUCUA